GACGAACGCUGGCGGCGUGCUUCAUACAUGCAAGUCGAACGAGAAGCAAGAGCUUGCUCUUGUGGAAAGUGGCGGACGGGUGAGUAACACGUAGGAAAUCUGCCCUUUAGCGGGGGACAACAGUUGGAAACGACUGCUAAUACCCCAUAUGAGCUAAGUUGAAAUACUUAUCUUGAAAACUCCGGUGCUAAAGGAUGAGCCUGCGCCUGAUUAGCUAGUUGGCGGGGUAACGGCCCACCAAGGCGACGAUCAGUAGCCGGACUGAGAGGUUGAACGGCCACAUUGGGACUGAGACACGGCCCAG
Molecule: ribosomal RNA, 304 nt
Filed under: uncultured bacterium
Lineage: Bacteria
Description: bacterial SSU rRNA
Rfam family: Bacterial small subunit ribosomal RNA
Source: RNAcentral